GCAGCCACCCCGAGCCUCCAGACCCAUGCCAUACCAAGGAAGGCUCCGCACAGCAAACUUGGCAAGAUGACCCAGUUCCUGCCACCCAACCUUCUGGCCCUUUUUGCCCCCCAUGACCCUAUCCCAUACCUGCCACCCCUGGAGAAACUGCCACAUGAAAAACACCACAAUCAACCUUACUGUGGCAUUGCGCCCUACAUUCCAGAGUUUGAGGCCCCUCGAGAUGCCCCUCCUCCAACUCGUGCAGAAACCCAGAGGAAGGCAUGGAGAGGAAAAGACGGGAGAAGAUUGAGCAGCAACAGCAGGAAGUGGAGACAGAGCUCACAUGAUCCCAAUGCUCAGGGGGAUACCUUCAAGACUCUCUUCAUGGCGAGAAUGAACUGUGACACAACAGAAUCCAAGCUCUGGAGAGAGUUUGAGGUGUAGGUACCCAUCAAAAGAAUCCACAUGGUCUACAGUAAGCGGUCGGGAAAGCCCCGUGGCUAUGCCUUCAUUGAGUAUGAACACGAGUGGGACAUGCACUCUGCUUACAAACACACAGACGGCAAGAAGAUUGAUGGCAGGAGGGUCCUUGUGGAUGUGGAGAGGGGCCGAACCGUGAAGGGCUGGAGGCCCCGGCGACUAGGAGGAGGCCUCGGUGGUACCAGGAGAGGAGGGGCUGAUGUGAACAUCUGUCAUUCAGGCCUCGAUGACACCUCCCACUAGGAUGAGAGGGACCAGGACCGGGACUGCGAGCGGGAGCGCAGAGAGCCGGGAGUGAGACAAGGAGCGAAAACAGCGACGCUCCCACUCUGGGGACCAGAGGAGGCGCUCACAGACUCAAGACAAGGAGGAGCAUAGGCGCUCCAUGGAGCGGAGCAAGGACAAGGACAGGGACUGGAAACAGCGAAGCAGUCAGAGCCGGGAGUGGGCUGGGCGGGAGCAGGAGCUCAAGGAGCAGCUGCGUGGAGGCGGCGGCGACACGGCGGAGCCCUCUGAGGCGAGUCAUGCGCCACCUGAUGACGGGCCUCCAGGGGAGCUCCGGCCUGAUGGACCUGAUGGUCCAGAGGAAAAGGGCCGGGAUCAUGACCGGGAGAGAGAGCGGAGCCAUCGGAGUGAGUGUGAGCGGCACCGGGACGGGGAUUGUGACCGUGACCGCGAGCACAAGCGGGGGGAGUGGGGCAGUGAGCGGGGCAGGGAUGAGGCCCAAGGUGAGGGUGGCGGCGGCCAGGACAAUGGGCUGGAGGGUCUGGGCAACCACAGCUGAGAAAUUUACAUGGAGUCUGAGGGCAGCGACAGCUACCUGGCUCCAGAGAAUGGGUAUUUGAUGGAGGCUGCUGCCGGAGUGAAGCGGGCCUCUCCACCUGCUGUGACUGGACGCAUUCCUGUGCCACUCCCUUGCUGUCAUCCCCUCCCCCAACCUUGGCCACCUCAGUUUGUCCUCCAAGGGUAGGUGUCUCAUUGGUCCUGGCCCCUUGGAUUUAAAAAUAAAAUUAAUUUCCUGUUGCU
RNA transcript from Sapajus apella (tufted capuchin), 1488 nucleotides. It is a transcript of the gene named U1 small nuclear ribonucleoprotein 70 kDa pseudogene, with no coding region annotated. The record is from RefSeq and is a predicted model, not a curated record. The transcript has a single exon. Lineage: Eukaryota; Metazoa; Chordata; Mammalia; Primates; Cebidae.